This is a long non-coding RNA of Chenopodium quinoa (quinoa), 3195 nucleotides long. RefSeq lists it as uncharacterized. The record is from RefSeq and is a predicted model, not a curated record. Lineage: Eukaryota; Viridiplantae; Streptophyta; Magnoliopsida; Caryophyllales; Amaranthaceae. The transcript is spliced from 5 exons.
CAAAUGUUUUAAUUUGGGCCCAGCUGAUGAGAAAAGCCCAUUUAUAACUAGGGUUUCACUCUCCUCAGUUAGUCAGUCCUAAAGCCUUCAUUUCCUCAUCUUCUUUCCUUUCUCCUCUCUCCUCCAAAAACCUUAACAUCCCCAAAUUUCCCACUCGAUGACAUCUUAUCAAUGGAUGUUCAGCUCUUACAAAACCCUAAAAUUCCAUCCCCAAAUCAACCAAAUUCCUCAAAUUCUCUCAAUGUCUUCCUCAGAGUUUUCCCCCUUCCAAUUGGUCCUUCCAAAACCUCUAAAUCGAAACAACCUAAUUCGAAAAAACCCAGUAAGAGUUGUCUUACAAUCAAUGAUGAUUCAUUCUAUUACGAUUAUUCCCCCGAUUUACGAUUCUAACAGGUUGAAAUUUGAAGUUUACAACGGAUUUUCGCAUGUUUUUUCUUCAAAUUCUUCUUAGGAUGAAGUGUAUGAUAAGCUCAUGAGACCGAUGGUUGAGGGAUUUAUGAGUGGAAAAGGUGGGAUUUUGGCUGCUUUAGGGCCUAGUGGUUCUUGGAAAACUAACACCGUUUUCGGAUCUGUCAAAGUACCCGGUUUGGUUCCUCGCUCUCUUCGCCACAUUUUUGAUGCUGAAGCUGGUAAAUCAUCUAUGAUGUCGAGUCUUUGCGGUCCUGUUGGUGAAUUGCUCUUGAAGAUUCGGUAGAUCGAAGCCUCUUCAUAAGGUCCUUGGUGGUGGUAAACGUAUGUUUCCUCAAUUUUUUAUUUUUCCCUCUUUUCUUUUAUUGAAAUGUUGUUUGUAUAUUCUGAAUUUGAUUGUUUCCUGUACAAUUUGUGCGAAUUGAUGAUUGUUUUUAGCUUGAUUAUUGUUUAUUAAUGGAGAUCGGGAGUGAUUUUGAUUGUAUUUGUUGCUUUUAUUGAUUGAUUUGUUUGUAUGAUGGUGUUAUUAUUACAGAUCUGAGUUUUGUUGCAGCCUCCUAAACCUCCUGAUGUGUUUUUAUUAAAAUUAUUGCUACUUAUUUCUAUCAAUUCACCCUCCUUUCAUAUUAUUAGCUAGAAAGCUAGGCAGCAACCAUAUAUUAUUACUUAGUUGCUUUAUACAUAAUAAUCAUCACUCCUCUUUGAUUUCAUUUGUACAUUUCAUUCAUCACUUUCACUUCCAACCAUGACUUGCUCUAAGGAUCAAAAGAUAACAACAAUGGUGUUGAAGGUUGAUCUUGAUUGUUGUCAAUGCUACAGGAAGGUUAAAAAAGUUCUAUGCAAAUUCCCUCAAAUACGAAACCAAGUGUUCGAUGAAAAGAAUAACACGGUGACCAUCACCGUGGUUUGCUGCAGUCCUGAGAAGAUCAGAGACAAGAUUUUCUGCAAAGAGGGCUAUUACAUGGUAUAUCUUAUUUUUGUUUGUCUAAUUUCUCAAUUAAUUGGUAAUAUAGUCUGAUGUUGUUGGACUAAUUGCUUUGCAGUAAUUUUAUUCUUCUUUUAUUCAAUUUUCUUUGUAAAUUUUGUGAUAUGUUUGUGUAAUUGUGUUGUUGGUAGGUGGAUCAUGGAUAGAGUCAUGGGUCCUUGGUUAGUAUUAUCUACAUAUGCCUGAGAUUUAGAGCGAAAAAGUGAUGAUCGCAGCUUUAUGAGAAUUUGUUUUGGUCUAAUACAAUAUAAAAGUCCUAAUUUUUAAUUUGAGGAUUAGUUGUCUAAUUGAUCAAGUAUUUCAGUUUCAGUUUAAGUUGGAUAUUUUAUUUCCAACCUUACUUCUUGAGUUUGUUGCAUUAAAAAUACGUAGCAUGAGCUUUUCCAUAAGGCACAAUGUGUCAAUGUCUAAUUAAUAUGGAUUAUAGAGGUCGUAGGCUUAUAAGGUCUUGGCCUAGUGAUAAAGGCUAAAAGCUUGUAGUUGUUCAGAUUAUAGAUAAUUUAUUAAUAGUUGUUGUCGCUGGCUACUUUUUUGGGGAGCUAUAUGUAGAGUGAGAGGGUGGGAGGUGGAGUUUUGGCUUCUACUUAAAUUUUUUUCAUACUUGAUGAAUAUUACACAUGUACAUUAGCAUUUAGCAGUAUAUGGAAUGCAGUACUCAAAUGUGUUAAGAGUCUCUUUUAAUGUUAUGAAGUACUCUCUGUAAAUCUUUUUUUUUUUUGACAAAAGCUUCAAACCUUUUGCUUGAGCUUUAAAAAAGUAUCAUAUCAUUAAAUUGGACUCAUAACGGGUUAUUUGUAACGGGCACUUGAAAUGUGCGUUACGAAUAACGGGUUAUUUGUAACGGACACUUGAAAUGUCCGUUACGAAUAACGGGUUAUUCGUAACUGGCACUUGAAAUAACCCAUUAUUCGUAACGGACACUGCCCGUUACGAAUAACACUGGCUAUCCGUAACGGUGGCAUACGUAACGCCCGAUGCCCGUUACGGAUAGGCCUUUUUUGCCCGUUACGGAUAGCUAUUUUUCCACUAGUGUGCCAUAAUCCAAUGUAAGUUUUUUAUUUAAAUUUGUUCGUUUUGGCGGAAUUUUGGCCUUUUUGAAUCAUUAAACCCCGAUUAUCGAAUUUAGGGGUUUUUUUAUUCAGACAAUUAUUCUUGAAAUUGUUUAUUCCAUGUUAUUAUGCUAUGUUUAAGGAGUGUUUUGCAAUAAAUUUCAUGAAACAUGGCUGAGUAUUGAGCCUUGUAUUAGCAUUUCUUCGUUUCAGUACGUUUUUUGCACUUUCCGUCAAAUUUCGUUUGUUUCUUGUUAUUUUGCUUGAUCAUUUUGACUAUACUUAUUAAUUAUGAAGUAAUUAUAGUAUUAAAACUAGUUAUAUCUUCAUAAACAAUGUUUUGAGAAUUUUGAAUCCGAAAAUUGGCGUGAAGUGUAUACUUAGCUUAUUUUUGCCAUGUUUGAACUUCAAGAUUGUUUGGUAGACGAUAAUUGCACCAUUGUUACUAUUAUUCGCCUAGGCAUAGUUGAUUCUUUGAGAUUAUUAAAUAUAAUCCCUUGAAUGCUUAGUUGAAACUGGUAUAAGAUGUCUUUUAUCGGUGUUUGAAGCCCCCAUUACUUAGUUUAACAGCAGGUAUCGUAGCCCCCUAGCAUGGGUGGUGUAGACACCCAAAUGUGUCUCCCCAAAACCAAACCCAGUGAUAAAUACCUUUCAUUUCAUUUGUUAUCUAGAAAAGCGAAAUUGUGAAAAGUCUAGUGAUGAGGAUGUUUUUAUUCAAAUAUCUUUUCUUUCUAUUUUUGAAAAUAUUUCUUU